GACGAACGCUGGCGGCGUGCUUAACACAUGCAAGUCGAACGAGACGAUUGAAAGCUUGCUUUUAAAAGUCGAGUGGCAAACGGGUGAGUAACGCGUAGACAACCUGCCUUUGAGAUGGGGACAACAGUUCGAAAGGACUGCUAAUACCGAAUGUUGUAUAUUUUCCACAUGGAAGAUAUAUUAAAGAUGGCCUCUAUUUAUAAGCUAUCGCUCAAAGAUGGGUCUGCGUCUGAUUAGCUAGUUGGUGGGGUAACGGCCUACCAAGGCGACGAUCAGUAGACGGGCUGAGCGGAUGAACGGCCACAUUGGGACUGAGACACGGGCCAGACUCCUACGGGAGGCAGCAGUGGGGAAUCUUCCACAAUGGACGAAAGUCUGAUGGAGAAACGCCGCGUGAGUGAAGAAGGGUUUCGGCUCGUAAAGCUCUGUUAUCGGGGACGAAUGUGCAGUAUUUGAAUAAAGUACUGCAAUGACGGUACCUGACGAGGAAGCCACGGCUAACUACGUGCCAGCCGCCGCGGUAA
RNAcentral lists this ribosomal RNA (524 nucleotides) under uncultured bacterium. Its description in RNAcentral is "partial 16S ribosomal RNA". It matches the Rfam family "Bacterial small subunit ribosomal RNA", at positions 28 to 523 of the family's 1533-position model. The record is from RNAcentral.